Molecule: long non-coding RNA, 1228 nt
Filed under: Phasianus colchicus (ring-necked pheasant)
Lineage: Eukaryota; Metazoa; Chordata; Aves; Galliformes; Phasianidae
Description: lncRNA (ENSPCLG00000009122.1)
Source: RNAcentral
AUGGACUUUUUGCAGUUUGGUGCGGCUCCUCUCUGCAGCUUCCAUGAAGAUGCAGGGAUGAGAAGUAUUGCAGAGUUAAGAGAAGAGAAAGUCUCUCCAUCUCUCUGUAAUCCUGCUCAGACACGAGAUUUAGACAAGGAAGAAUGGAAGAUUCACUUGAAGGUGGCCUGGGAAUCUGCUGAGAAAGGAUGUGCCACAGCAGAGGAGGUGAUUGCCACUCAAUCCUAGCUCUUGCCCCCAGAGAAGGCACAGUUUGAGAACUAUUGAAUUUCUUAAAUCCAGUGAAAUCCUGAAGUACAAGGCAGCAGUGUGUCUUUCAGGGGAUUUUUCAGAACAAAGAGGCCACAAGAAAUGGUUUACCCAGACUCUAAGAUGCUCCAAGGUCUGCAUUUUCACCUUACCUGACUGUCGCUGUUUGGGAACGCAUGUGGUCGUUUGUUGCAAUACUCAUUCACUAUCCAUACAGCUGCUGAGGCAGAAUCAAUGCUGCACUGAGUUCUCAUUAACUUCUGGGUGAGAUGUGCAUGUUUCUGGCUCUGCUAUGAAAAUGGCUGUGAUUUCCCCCCCCUCCACAGGUGUCCCUAUUUGUCACUGCAUUUGCAAACCUGACCCUGGAAGUCAGACUCCAUUAUAGCAACAAUCACCAGUCUAGAGGGUAAUUAACCAAAUAGUUAUGUUUUCUUUUUUUCCUUCAGCACCAAACAAGCAAACAGCAACAAAAUGCAUCUUGGCAAGGUAAUUGAAAGAAACUCAUCACUUUUAAUGAAAGUUGGAGUGAUUGUAUUCUAAGCCAGUUAAUUACAUCACUGUAUUAUUGCUGCCUGACAGAUGAACUUAAUUUACAGUCAGUGGGGAGUUAACCUAAACUAGAAGCUCAUUGCAAAGAUUUUAUUGAUUUUUAAUGGGCUUUGGACUGGAUCUUUGAGCAGGUUUGCCUUCAUGUUUCUAUAAUGCUGAUUCGUGUAAAAAUAGAGAAUCUAAAUUUACACUUAGUGCAAUUUUUUUCAGGCAGAACUUCUUUAAUGAUCAACAGUGAUCACAUUCAUAAUGUAAAGUGAACUAGAUUCUCUUCUGACAAAAUAUACCAAGUAAAAAAAAAAUCUAAAAUAUGACAAAGUAUUCCAAAUAUCCAACAUACUGUUACUAGCAUUAUGUCUGCUUGAGGUGUAAUAAUCACUUGUUGAAACUGGUGUUCCUACAAAAAGAAUGUUUUUUUUUCACUCCAAAC